AACGAACGCUGGCGGUAUGCUUAACACAUGCAAGUCGAACGAACAAAAUUGGGGCUUGCUCCAAUUUUAGUGAGUGGCAAACGGGUGAGUAACACGUGGGAAUCUACCUAUCAGUACGGAAUAACAUUUGGAAACAGAUGCUAAUACCGUAUAUUCUCCAAGGAGGAAAGAUUUAUCGCUGAAAGAUGAGCCCGCGUAAGAUUAGGUAGUUGGUAGGGUAAUGGCCUACCAAGCCGACGAUCUUUAGCUGGUCUGAGAGGAUGAUCAGCCACACUGGGACUGAGACACGGCCCAGACUCCUACGGGAGGCAGCAGUGGGGAAUAUUGGACAAUGGGCGAAAGCCUGAUCCAGCAAUACCGCGUGAAUGAUGAAGGCCUUAGGGUUGUAAAGUUCUUUUAGUUGGAAAGAUAAUGACGGUACCAACGGAAAAAGCCCCGGCUAACUCCGUGCCAGCAGCCGCCGUAA
Molecule: ribosomal RNA, 466 nt
Filed under: uncultured bacterium
Lineage: Bacteria
Description: partial 16S ribosomal RNA
Rfam family: Bacterial small subunit ribosomal RNA
Source: RNAcentral